RNAcentral lists this ribosomal RNA (447 nucleotides) under uncultured bacterium. RNAcentral's name for it is "bacterial SSU rRNA". It matches the Rfam family "Bacterial small subunit ribosomal RNA", at positions 355 to 825 of the family's 1533-position model. The record is from RNAcentral.
UCGGGAAUUUUGGGCAAUGGGGGAAACCCUGACCCAGCAACGCCGCGUGAAGGAUGAAGUAUUUCGGUAUGUAAACUUCGAAAGAAUAGGAAGAAUAAAUGACGGUACUAUUUAUAAGGUCCGGCUAACUACGUGCCAGCAGCCGCGGUAAUACGUAGGGACCAAGCGUUGUUCGGAUUUACUGGGCGUAAAGGGCGCGUAGGCGGUGUGUCAAGUCAGUUGUGAAAUCUCCGAGCUUAACUCGGAACGGUCAACUGAUACUGUCACACUAGAGUACAGAAGGGGCAAUCGGAAUUCUUGGUGUAGCGGUGAAAUGCGUAGAUAUCAAGAGGAACACCUGAGGUGAAGACGGGUUGCUGGGCUGACACUGACGCUGAGGCGCGAAAGCCAGGGGAGCAAACGGGAUUAGAUACCCCCGUAGUCCCUGAGCGGGCUGGCAAGGCGCAU